UAAUAGCGUAUAUUAAAGUUGUUGCAGUUAAAAAGCUCGUAGUCGGAUGUCGGGCUCGGGCAGGCUGUCGGCUUCGGUCGGACGGCAGGCUCGGGUCUUUCUGCCUGAGGAUCCCGUUGCACUUAAUUGUGGGGCGUGGGGACGCAGGCCGUUUACUUUGAAAAAAUUAGAGUGUUCAAAGCAGGCCUACGCUUGAAUACAUUAGCAUGGAAUAAUAAUAUAGGAUCUGAUGCCUAUUUUGUUGGUUUCUAGGUGUUAGAUAAUGAUUAAUAGGGACAAUUGGGGGCAUUCGUAUUAUGGCGUCAGAGGUGGAAUUCUUGGAUUGCCAUACGACGAACUACUGCAAAAGCAUUUGCCAAGGAUGUUUUCAUUGAUCAAGAACGAAAGUAAGGGGAUCGAAGACGAUUAGAU
RNAcentral lists this ribosomal RNA (411 nucleotides) under uncultured eukaryote. RNAcentral describes it as "bacterial SSU rRNA". It matches the Rfam family "Eukaryotic small subunit ribosomal RNA", at positions 592 to 1013 of the family's 1831-position model. The record is from RNAcentral.